GAAUAUUGGACAAUGGGGGCAACCCUGAUCCAGCCAUGCCGCGUGUGUGAAGAAGGCUUUCGGGUUGUAAAGCACUUUCAGCGAGGAGGAAAAGUUGGUCGUUAAUAGCGGCCAGCCGUGACGUUACUCGCAGAAGAAGCACCGGCUAACUCCGUGCCCGCAGCCGCGGUAAUACGGAGGGUGCAAGCGUUAAUCGGAAUUACUGGGCGUAAAGCGCGCGUAGGUGGUUUGAUAAGCGAGAUGUGAAAGCCUCGGGCUUAACCUGAGAACGGCAUUUCGAACUGUCAGGCUAGAGUGUGGUAGAGGGUAGUGGAAUUUCCUGUGAAGCGGUGAAAUGCGUAGAUAUAGGAAGGAACACCAGUGGCGAAGGCGGCUACCUGGACCAACACUGACACUGAGGUGCGAAAGCGUGGGGAGCAAACAGG
RNAcentral lists this ribosomal RNA (425 nucleotides) under uncultured bacterium. RNAcentral describes it as "bacterial SSU rRNA". It matches the Rfam family "Bacterial small subunit ribosomal RNA", at positions 359 to 776 of the family's 1533-position model. The record is from RNAcentral.